UGGUCAAGUUAUUAAGGGUGCAGGGCGGAUGCCUUGGCACUAGGAGCCGAUGAAGGACGUGAUAAGCUGCGAUAAGCUUCGGGGAGUUGCACGUAAACUUUGAUCCGAAGAUUUCCGAAUGAGGAAACUCACUUAGAGUAAUGUCUAAGUAUCAUUAAGUGAAUACAUAGCUUAAUGAGGGGAACUCAGGGAACUGAAACAUCUAAGUACCUGAAGGAAGAGAAAGAAAUUCGAUUCCGUAAGUAGCGGCGAGCGAACGCGGAUUAGCCCAAACCAAUAAAGUUUUCUUUAUUGGGGUUGCGGACAUAUCAUAACGAAGAGGUAUCGUAAUUGAAGAGGUUUGGAAAGACCCACCACAGAAGGUAAUAGUCCUGUAUGUUAAACGAGAAGACUUUAGAUAUGAUCCAGAGUACCACGGGACACGUGAAACCCUGUGGGAAGCAGGAGGGACCACCCUCCAAGGCUAAAUACUACCUAGUGACCGAUAGCGUAUAGUACCGUGAGGGAAAGGUGAAAAGAACCCCGGGAGGGGAGUGAAAUAGAACCUGAAACCCUGCACUUACAAGCUGUGGAAGCACAUUUCUUGUGUGACCGCGUACUUUUUGUAGAACGGGCCAACGAGUUACGUUAAGUAGCAAGGUUAAGCACUUAAGGUGUGGAGCCGUAGCGAAAGCGAGUUUUAACUGAGCGUUCAGUUACUUGACGUAGACCCGAAACCGGGCGACCUACCCAUGAGCAGGAUGAAGCGAAAGUAAAAUUUCGGGGAGGUCCGAACCCACGAGCGUUGAAAAGCUCGGGGAUGACUUGUGGGUAGCGGUGAAAUUCCAAUCGAGCCCGGAGAUAGCUGGUUCUCCCCGAAAUAGCUUUAGGGCUAGCCUCAAGGUGAGAGAUACGGAGGUAGAGCACUGAAUGUCCUAGGGGGUAUUGCACCUACCGAAGACUAUCAAACUCCGAAUGCCGUCAUCUUAUACUUGGGAGUCAGACUGUGGGUGAUAAGAUUCAUAGUCGAAAGGGCAACAGCCCAGAUCGUCAGCUAAGGUCCCUAAAUGUAAGUUAAGUGGUAAAGGAUGUGGGAUUGCACAGACAACCAGGAUGUUGGCUUAGAAGCAGCCACUCAUUCAAAGAGUGCGUAAUAGCUCACUGGUCGAGUGAUCCUGCGCCGAAGAUUUCCGGGGCUAAAACUUACUACCGAAGCUACGGCAUCAGUAAUGAUGGGUAGGGGAGCUUCCCAUACGGGUUGAAGCAUGACCGUAAGGACAUGUGGACAGUAUGGGAGUGAGAGUGUUGGAAUGGGGAGGGAGAUGUGGGUAAGAAUGCCACAGGCCGUAAACCCAAGG
RNAcentral lists this ribosomal RNA (1337 nucleotides) under Clostridioides difficile. Its description in RNAcentral is "bacterial LSU rRNA". It matches the Rfam family "Bacterial large subunit ribosomal RNA", at positions 1 to 1350 of the family's 2925-position model. The record is from RNAcentral. Lineage: Bacteria; Bacillati; Bacillota; Clostridia; Peptostreptococcales; Peptostreptococcaceae.